RNAcentral lists this ribosomal RNA (778 nucleotides) under Ruegeria sp. AU622. RNAcentral describes it as "bacterial SSU rRNA". It matches the Rfam family "Bacterial small subunit ribosomal RNA", at positions 56 to 883 of the family's 1533-position model. The record is from RNAcentral. Lineage: Bacteria; Pseudomonadati; Pseudomonadota; Alphaproteobacteria; Rhodobacterales; Roseobacteraceae.
UGCAAGUCGAGCGCACCUUCGGGUGAGCGGCGGACGGGUUAGUAACGCGUGGGAACAUACCCUUUGGUACGGAAUAGCCUCUGGAAACGGAGAGUAAUACCGUAUGAGCCCUUCGGGGGAAAGAUUUAUCGCCAAAGGAUUGGCCCGCGUUAGAUUAGGUAGUUGGUGGGGUAAUGGCCUACCAAGCCUACGAUCUAUAGCUGGUUUUAGAGGAUGAUCAGCAACACUGGGACUGAGACACGGCCCAGACUCCUACGGGAGGCAGCAGUGGGGAAUCUUGGACAAUGGGGGCAACCCUGAUCCAGCCAUGCCGCGUGAGUGAUGAAGGCCUUAGGGUCGUAAAGCUCUUUCGCCUGUGAAGAUAAUGACGGUAGCAGGUAAAGAAACCCCGGCUAACUCCGUGCCAGCAGCCGCGGUAAUACGGAGGGGGUUAGCGUUGUUCGGAAUUACUGGGCGUAAAGCGCACGUAGGCGGACUGGAAAGUUGGGGGUGAAAUCCCAGGGCUCAACCCUGGAACUGCCUCCAAAACUAUCAGUCUAGAGUUCGAGAGAGGUGAGUGGAAUUCCGAGUGUAGAGGUGAAAUUCGUAGAUAUUCGGAGGAACACCAGUGGCGAAGGCGGCUCACUGGCUCGAUACUGACGCUGAGGUGCGAAAGUGUGGGGAGCAAACAGGAUUAGAUACCCUGGUAGUCCACACCGUAAACGAUGAAUGCCAGUCGUCGGGUAGCAUGCUAUUCGGUGACACACCUAACGGAUUAAGCAUUCCGCCUGGGGAGUAC